This 250-nucleotide ribosomal RNA is filed under the name uncultured bacterium. Its description in RNAcentral is "partial 16S ribosomal RNA". It matches the Rfam family "Bacterial small subunit ribosomal RNA", at positions 524 to 773 of the family's 1533-position model. The record is from RNAcentral.
UACGUAGGGGGCGAGCGUUGUCCGGAAUGACUGGGCGUAAAGGGCGUGUAGGCGGCUUUUUAAGUCUGGAGUGAAAGUCCUGCUUUCAAGGUGGGAAUUGCUUUGGAAACUGGAGAGCUUGAGUGCGGAAGAGGUAAGUGGAAUUCCCAGUGUAGCGGUGAAAUGCGUAGAGAUUGGGAGGAACACCAGUGGCGAAGGCGACUUACUGGGCCGUAACUGACGCUGAGGCGCGAAAGCGUGGGGAGCGAAC